UUGAAGCCCAGAUUAGGAGCCGAUUGGGAUAUCCACGUUUUCUCUCUAUCGAUCGAUCUCGACCAAACCCUAAACCCGCUGCGCUGCGGCAGCCGAGAUCGUUCGAAUCGGUUCCGAAGGCGAACGAGGUUGACAAAUUCUGAUACAAAAUGUCUCGGGUUUAUGUUGGAAAUUUGGACUCACGAACCACAGAAAAAGAUCUGGAAGAUGAAUUCCGAACAUUUGGUGUUCUUCGAAGUGUUUGGGUUGCUCGAAGGCCACCUGGUUAUGGCUUUGUUGAAUUUGAUGAUCGAAGAGAUGCAUUAGAUGCCAUUCAUGAUUUAGAUGGGAAACAUGGGUGGCGUGUGGAGCUUUCUCAUAAUUCUAAAGGCGAAGGUGGUGGGCGUGAUAGGCGUGGACGAGGUGGUGGUGGUGGGGACAUGAAUUGUUAUGAGUGUGGUGAACCUGGUCAUUUUGCGCGUGAGUGUAGAUUACGCAUUGGGUCAGGUGGUUUAGGAAGCGGAAGGCGUAGAAGCCCUAGUCCUCCCCGCCAUCGCAGUAGCCCUAGCUAUGGCCGUGGAAAUCGAAGCCCACGAGGGAGAAGAUCUCCUCGUCGUCGCAGCUAUUCUCCUAAAAGUAGGUCACCAGCUAAUCGUCGUAGAGAUUCUCCUAAUGCUAAUAGAAGUCGCAGCCCAGUAACGAGAAAUUCUUCUCGUCGCAGCUAUUCUCCUAAAAGUAGGUCACCAGCAUAUCGUCGUAGAGAUUCUCCUAAUACCAAUAGAAGUAGCAGCCCAGGAGCGAGAAAAUCUCCUCGUCGCAGCUAUUCGCCUAGGAGUAGAUCUCCUGCUCAUCGGCGUGAAGCUUCUCCUUUUGUCAAUAAAAGUCCUGGCCCUGAGAAGAACUACAGUCCUUCACUGCCAAAUCACCCUGAACAAUCUCCUUAUGCCAAUGGCAGGGAUGGCAAACAGAGCAGGAGCAGGAGCAGGAGCAGGAGCAGGAGCAAUAGCUGAACUACAUUAUGGUCAUCGGAAACUGUUACAAGUGGGGGGACCUUGGAGUAUCUUUGGACCUACUAUAAUUUAGUUUGCUUAAAGUGGUUAAGUUCGAACAAUGAAGCUUUGGAUCCUUCCAUUGGUUGGAGCACUCUCCUCAGCUUACUGGCAUAUGGAGAGGUUACUUUUCUAGUGUGGUUCUGCUAAGAUCUAGAUCGGCCGCACCAUGGGCUGCUCUUCUCCACACUGUCUCGGCUUUUCUGCUUCUCCCAAUCUAUUUCUGCUAGGUCCUAUGGCAUCUCAAAAAUGGUACUCGGCUCUGUGCUCGCGGGCAUGAUGAAUCACUGGCAGAUGCUUGAAAAGAUAAGAAACUUCAUGGCACUGUUAAGUUUUUGGUUUUGCCAGGAUAUACCGAUCAAGUUCAUUCCUACUGGAGUUUGAUAGGGUGUUUGCUUUAGUUCAUAUCAAGCUAUUGAUCAAAGUUUUAUUUUGAUGUAGUAGUGAUUAUCGACUAAAAUACUUGGACCAUGCCUCUACUGACUAAGAAUGCUGUGCUGUGUUCUGUUAAAGAAUGCUCAAUCUAGCCUUUCUUUCAGUUAA
This is an RNA transcript of Zingiber officinale, 1571 nucleotides long. It is a transcript of the gene named serine/arginine-rich splicing factor RSZ21-like, with no coding region annotated. The transcript is spliced from 10 exons. The record is from RefSeq and is a predicted model, not a curated record. Lineage: Eukaryota; Viridiplantae; Streptophyta; Magnoliopsida; Zingiberales; Zingiberaceae.